UAGCUUUUACCACGUGAUUGAAGAAUUUCAGUAGGGCACUCUGCAUAUCAGGGCUGCUAUGCUUUAACAUCUCAGCACUAAUUGGCUGUCAGGCCAAUUAGUUUUCCCUGAUUUGAAGGCUCUGAGUUUGUCUUGCAGCUCCUUGGUAGUUAUAUGAUUGUCUAGGGGGUUUUGGUUGUCUUUACAUGAUUCUAUUUGUUCAAGUCUUUCAGAAAUUGAAUUACGUCGAGUCUGUUUUUUAGGUGGAUUAUUUUGGUAGAGGUUUUCAAAAUAUUUUUUCCACAUUUUUCCAUUUUGUGUAGAUAAUUCUUCUUUUUUUAUUGAAUUUAGUUUUUCCGUGUUUCCCAGAAGUGGUUUUGGUUUAUUGACUCUUCAGUUUUGUUUAGCUGUGUGUUGAUGGGUUCCAGUCUUUUACUGUUUAUUGUUUGUUUACAUUGUUUGAGUAUUUCACUGUAUCUUAGGCAUAAAUCUUGGUUUUCAGGAUUUUUAUGUUUUUGGUUGGAUAGAGUUCUUAGCAUUUGGCAGUCCCUAUCAAACCAGUUUUCAUUACAUUUCUUAUGAUCAUUUCUCACAUUUAUAUUUUUUAACUUGGAUGCUCUCUCUUUCUCUCUCUCGUUUUUACUCUUCAUAAAGUGGACAUCAGAAGUAUUCAUCCAUCAGUUGGUGCAUACCACUGGUGUUAUCCACAACGUUUAUUGUUAAUGUUAACAGCAUGUUAACAGUGUGCUUCUCUGACUGUGAUUUCUGUAAUUAUUUCUGUCCUUCGGAACACUGAGGUUUUUUCCAGGGCUGAAAUCGUGUUCAUUGGCAGAAUCCUAUAUUCCCCAUAGCUUGCAGGAGGAAACAAUGAUCACUCGGUCUCCUCUUCUAGGGACUCAGGCCUCCCUGUGGUGCUGAUGAAAAAGCACACAGCCACGAAGGGGAGAUGAAAUGUCUCUGAAAUGUAAAACGUGCCCACAUGCCCUCAGACCGGUGGUGGCAGGGGUCCGACUGAUCUGUGAGAAGACCUGCUCUCCAGACUGUAAAUGACAAAUUGAUCCUUUGCUUUGACCAAGACUUCUUUCACCAUAAAUGCCUUACAUGUACUGAUUUACAGACACACAGAAUUUCUGAGCGACUCACUGCUCUGUCCCAAGGCGCCUCUGUUCAAAGGGAUGUGAUAUCUCUCAACUUAAAAUAACGGAGAAGAAAAUGCUAAUUGAUGUGAAAUUGGCUGAUUACACUUGUACAGCUGGUGAAUUAUGCAGUGUAGUUUAUUAGCUACUGUCUUCUAGGGUGAGUGCCAUUUUGGCUAGAGUGGUUUCCUGUCUCUUGUGUUGUUGCUUUUUUCAUAGAUUCAUAGACUGUUGUCCUGCACAGUGUAUGUGAGUACAUGAUUGGAAGACAUAUUAUUUUCAGUCGUAGCUUUGAUAUAUAUUGACAAUGUUAAAUACAGGGUGGAAGGUAUGCUAUUGUGGUUAAAUAUCAGAAUAUGAAAUCUUAGACUGUAAUUUGCCUGUAGGAAUAAUUACAUUUUAUUAAUGGUGCUUAUCAUGAGAUAAAGUUAAUUAGAAGGAUAACUAUAAAUACGGCGGCUAAUAAUUUGUAAAUAAAUAGUCGGGUAACAUGAGAGAAGACACCUCUGGGUUAAAAAAAGUGUGGGAUCUUUGAUUUCAUAUUAUCCUUUAGAAUAUCUGUGUCACAUGACUUUAUCUAUGAUUGUCUGUUCAAAAACUGUUCUGGCAGCCUGAAUGGCAAGACAUGUUCAGCAUGUGGUAAGUAAUUCAGCUUUCAUCAUAUAUAAUUAAAAUACAAACAUUCAUAUAAGCUGACAGUAUUAACUAUGAACAGUAACUAUGGUUUUAUUUAGUAGAAUUUGACUUUGGAAUAUCUCCUGGGAUACGUUGCCAGAUAAGAGGUAGUAUAGGAUUAAUUUUAUAAUUUUGAGAAUACAUGUACAUAGAGUUUCACAAUUGAUAAUAUUUUCAUAUACACUAGUAAAACUCACUUUAUUGUGUAUAGAAAAAUUAAUUUGGCCAUUUUAUCUUGGUGUGAUGCCUGUAAAAAGGUUCAAGUGCCUUUCAAGGAAGAUCCACUUUUGAGACAAUUGCAGAUUAGAGCUGGACCAGGAUCAUCUUCGCAAAGCACAAAAAUCUGAACAUUCAAGAUGGAGGUUGCUGAAGCACUUAUCCAUGGUGCUAAAGUGAAGAAGGAAAGGCCUGCAAAAGACAAUCAGGAUGAUACACCAGCCAGAAUCCUUCAGAAGCCAACUGUCCCAAGACAUUUGUUCUGACAGGAUGGACCACCUCCCCAUUUUCACAGAGAAGGGGCGAUGCAGGCUGUGCCCAGAUGGACUACUGAAAAUAAGCUGUCACAUGUGGUGCCCACCUUUGCACUCUCACAGGAAAAAACACUCAUAACUAUUUCCACAGGUUUUAUGUCAAGCAAGAGAGAAAAAUGAACACAAACAAAACAAACAAAACAUUGGGAAAAUGCAAAAAAGAUAAAUCAGUGUGGUUAAUGUGUUGAUGCCACAAUUAAGUUUUUCAAGUACUGUUACUGUAACUGUUUCAAACAUGAAAUCACAAAGUGAAGGUUUAAAUUUGGAAAAUUAAUUAAAAACAAAAUCCGUGAUUUCACA
Anguilla rostrata (American eel) is the source of this 2620-nucleotide long non-coding RNA. RefSeq lists it as uncharacterized. The record is from RefSeq and is a predicted model, not a curated record. NCBI's taxonomy places the organism in Eukaryota, Metazoa, Chordata, Actinopteri, Anguilliformes, Anguillidae. The transcript is spliced from 2 exons.